GAUGAACGCUGGCGGCGUGCCUAAUACAUGCCAGUCGAGCGAACAGACGAGGAGCUUGCUCCUCUGACGUUAGCGGUGGACGGGUGAGUAACACGUGGAUAACCUACCUAUAAGACUGGGAUAACUUCGGGAAACCGGAGCUAAUACCGGAUAAUAUAUUGAACCGCAUGGUUCAAUAGUGAAAGACGGUUUUGCUGUCACUUAUAGAUGGAUCCGCGCCGCAUUAGCUAGUUGGUAAGGUAACGGCUUACCAAGGCAACGAUGCGUAGCCGACCUGAGAGGGUGAUCGGCCACACUGGAACUGAGACACGGUCCAGACUCCUACGGGAGGCAGCAGUAGGGAAUCUUCCGCAAUGGGCGAAAGCCUGACGGAGCAACGCCGCGUGAGUGAUGAAGGUCUUCGGAUCGUAAAACUCUGUUAUUAGGGAAGAACAAAUGUGUAAGUAACUAUGCACGUCUUGACGGUACCUAAUCAGAAAGCCACGGCUAACUACGUG
RNAcentral lists this ribosomal RNA (497 nucleotides) under uncultured bacterium. Its description in RNAcentral is "partial 16S ribosomal RNA". It matches the Rfam family "Bacterial small subunit ribosomal RNA", at positions 28 to 507 of the family's 1533-position model. The record is from RNAcentral.